GACGAACGCUGGCGGCGUGCCUAAUACAUGCAAGUAGAACGCUGAAGGAGGAGCUUGCUUCUCUGGAUGAGUUGCGAACGGGUGAGUAACGCGUAGGUAACCUGCCUGGUAGCGGGGGAUAACUAUUGGAAACGAUAGCUAAUACCGCAUAAGAGUAGAUGUUGCAUGACAUUUGCUUAAAAGGUGCAAUUGCAUCACUACCAGAUGGACCUGCGUUGUAUUAGCUAGUUGGUGGGGUAACGGCUCACCAAGGCGACGAUACAUAGCCGACCUGAGAGGGGGAUCGGCCACACUGGGACUGAGACACGGCCCAGACUCCUACGGGAGGCAGCAGUAGGGAAUCUUCGGCGAUGGACGGAAGUCUGACCGAGCAACGCCGCGUGAGUGAAGAAGGGUUUCGGAUCGUAAAGCUCUGUUGUAAGAGAAGAACGAGUGUGAGAGUGGAAAGUUCACACUGUGACGGUAUCUUACCAGAAAGGGACGGCUAACUACGUG
Molecule: ribosomal RNA, 495 nt
Filed under: uncultured bacterium
Lineage: Bacteria
Description: partial 16S ribosomal RNA
Rfam family: Bacterial small subunit ribosomal RNA
Source: RNAcentral